GUGUAGUGAUACACGACCCGUGUAGUGAUACACGACCCGUGUAGUGAUACACGACCCGUGUAGUGAUACACGACCCGUGUAUCAUGUCGCAGAUGCGACUUGUGGGGUGCGAAACGCGCAAAACUAAGAGUCAUAACAGCUUUUUAAAUACACCUCUCACCUUGAAACCGUUCAUAAAGACAAAACCCUUCCUCUCCACCUCCCCUAGCCUAUAAAAACCUCUCAAA
RNAcentral lists this unclassified non-coding RNA (227 nucleotides) under Hevea brasiliensis (rubber tree). The record is from RNAcentral. Lineage: Eukaryota; Viridiplantae; Streptophyta; Magnoliopsida; Malpighiales; Euphorbiaceae.